UUCUAAUUAGUAUAUAUUUGUACAUUUACCUUCCAAGUAAAAAGUCAACAAGGGGUUGAUUAGAAA
RNAcentral lists this transfer RNA (66 nucleotides) under Siphonaria gigas (giant false limpet). Its description in RNAcentral is "tRNA-Gly". The record is from RNAcentral. Lineage: Eukaryota; Metazoa; Mollusca; Gastropoda; Siphonariida; Siphonariidae.